Molecule: ribosomal RNA, 425 nt
Filed under: uncultured microorganism
Description: bacterial SSU rRNA
Rfam family: Archaeal small subunit ribosomal RNA
Source: RNAcentral
GCGCAGCAGGCGAGAAAACUCCGCAAUGCCCGAAAGGGUGACGGGGGGAUUCCAAGUGCCUACGCUUAGCGUAGGCUGUUCAGGUGCCUAAAAAGCACCUGGAGGAAGGGCUGGGUAAGACGGGUGCCAGCCGCCGCGGUAAUACCCGCAGCCCGAGUGGUAGUCGCUUUUAUUGGGGCCUAAAGCGUCCGUAGCCGGUCUGGUAAAUGCCUGGGUAAAUCGUGGGGCUUAACCUCACGAAUUCCGGGUAGACUGCCAGACUUGGGACCGGUUGAGGGGAGAGGGUACUCCAGGGGUAGGGGUGAAAUCAGCAAGGUAAGCUGAUGUAACUUGCCUUGCAAGUCACAAUCCUGUAAUCCUUGGAGGACCACCGGUGGCGAAAGCGCUCUCCUAGGACGGGUCCGACGGGUGAGGGACGAAAGCCA